RNAcentral lists this non-coding RNA (45 nucleotides) under Schistosoma curassoni. The record is from RNAcentral. Lineage: Eukaryota; Metazoa; Platyhelminthes; Trematoda; Strigeidida; Schistosomatidae.
AUCCAGCCGAUGAGUCCCAAACAGAACGAAACGCGCAUCCUGGAU